RNAcentral lists this non-coding RNA (31 nucleotides) under Homo sapiens (human). The record is from RNAcentral. Lineage: Eukaryota; Metazoa; Chordata; Mammalia; Primates; Hominidae.
CACCAUUUAAACUGUAGGCCACAGACUGGUG